CUUUUACGAUGUUUUCCCAGCAGCAUGCAGGCAGCAGUAGCUUCCUUUGAUCAUUUUUCAGUUUCUGUUAUUUGCUAGUGAGAGAAAGUUUAUACCUGCUUGUGGGGACAUGAGUGAAGAAAGAGAGGGGACUUUGAAACAAGAGAAGAGAGCAAACUCAAAAGGUUUUUCAUGGCAGCAUGUGACAAGAUGAUGCUGAAAAAUUUAUAUGGAAAUUCAAAGGAUCAAGAAUAGCUGAAACAUCACUGAAGAAGAACAAAGUGGGCUGAACUCGCUCUACUAGAUAUCAAGAUUUAUAAGCAACUACAGUAUUUAGGACAGUGUAGUAUCGGCACUGGGAGAGAAAAAAAAAAAAAAAAACUAAAAGGAAAAAGAGCCCAGAGACUGACUUUUGUGUAUGUGGACAGUUUGUUUAUGAUGAAAGUACCACUGCUAUGCACUGUGGGAAAAUGUCCUCAAAGAAUGACACUAGGGCAACUGGGUAUCCCCAUGUAAAAACAAUUAACCCUAAUCUCACAUCACACACAAAAAUCAACUCCAUUUGGGGUAUAUACUUAAAUGGAAGGUAAAACUAUUAAUAUAAAGUUUAUAGAGAAUAUUGUUUAUUGCUUUUUUGGCCCCGAUUCUUCUCUCCUCCCUGUGCCCAUGCCCUUUCCCAGGUGACUUUGCAGUUCCUCUCAUAAAAGGGGCAGAUUAUGUUUUUCCUCCCUGGACUCUAUGUUUGGCUUAAGUCCUUUGGUGGAAGUGACAGUGUGCCAUUCUGGGCCUAGGCCUCAAGGGACCUUGAACAUCUCUGCUUGCCCUCUUCCACUUAUGCCAUCCCCAUGAGAAGGAUAUGCCUGAUCCAGCCCACUGACCUUGACAGGGAGAUGAGAGACACAUGGGUAGAGUUCUCUGGUGAAGCUGCCCCAGCCAAACCCAGCCUGGAGCCAAGCCCAGCCAAGAUAAAGUGAGCCCAUCCUGGACCAGCUGACCCAGGCACCUGAAUGAGAACAAAAUAAUUUUUGUUUUCCAUCAUUGAGCUUUGGGUACAUUUGUUAGGCAGCAAUAAACUAACAUCAGAAGGUAAUAUAGGAAAAUAUCUAUAUGACUUCCAGAUAGGCAAAUGUGUUUUAAGCUAGUCACAAAAGUACCUGCUCACCAUAAAGAAAAAGAGUUUUUAUGUUAAAAUUAAGAAUCCUCAUUUAUCAGAAAAUACUGUUAAGAGAGUAAAGAGGCUUGCCAUAAAAUGGAAGAUGAUAUUUGCAACCAUUCAACAAAAAACCAGUAUCGAGAAUAUUUUAAAAAUUCCUACACAGAAUUAAGAAAAGACAGAUUAUUUUACAUUUUAUAUAAAAGUCCAUCCACCUUUUAUAUGUACCUGUUGCACAUAAAAAUGAGCAAAAAGACUUGAAAGAGUAUUUUGCAAAAGAGUAAAUCCACCUGGACAAUAAACAUACGAUAAUGUUCUGAAUCCCAGAAACCAGGGAAAUGUAGAUUAAAGUCAACAACAAAGUGGUAGCUUAGACCCCAAGAUUAAAACAGUGUCAGUGAGAAAAUACCAGUUACAGAGAUAGUCAGGAACCUUUAAGAAACAAGAUGCUGGAUGUUACAUUGAAAAAUAUGUGCUGAGCUGUGCUGCUCUGUAACUACCUGCCCUGUUGUGAAUCUGACCCACAAUGCCUGUGAGAGUGGUGUUUUCUCUGGAGGAUUCAAAGGAAAGGACAGUUGCCUUCUUCCUUGUGUUGCUACAGGGCAGAGAGAAUACUGCAGGAGGUGAGGGGCAGAACAGAGUUUAUAACCUCAACUGCAGUGUGAAAAUGCUGGUUACCUCCACCAUGUCUUACGGUGUAGCAGCCAUAUGUUUUGAGUUGGGUAGAUCCCAACCACCUUCAGGGAUAAGCCCUGAUUGCCCUAAGCCAUUCAUCAUAAUCCCAUUUCCCUGGCCUUGGAUGGCUAUAUAACCUACAUUGAUUCAAUCAGACUGAGGUUCUGGACUCUUGCUCAGUAUUAAACACAUGUAUGACCUAGAAGUGCUGCAGCCAUUUUGCUACUACGAGGAACCCAGUCUGAAGACAAAUUGUGUACAAGGGAAGGGGCAGAGCCAAGAGAAUUAUGGAAUGAAAUCCAGUUUGAUUAGAUCAUGCCUGAAAUUUUCUAAUUACUACACCUUUCAGUUAUAUGAACCAAUGAAUUUCCUUUAUUUUUCAAGCCAGUUUGAGUUGGCUUUCUGCUAGUUGCAAUAGAAGCAUCUGUAGAAAUUAGAGCAACAGGUGAUGAGGAAAGAUGUACUGAAAUUUCCGCAGGAUCUGGUGAUGAGGAGAAGCACAAGUUAUACCACCAAAUAUGGAAUGGAGGCUUAAUAGGUUUAAAAAUAAUAUUAAGGGGGAAGUUUGACUGAGGAACUCUGGCAAAUGCCACUUGACUGACACAUAUGAUAUCUAGUAGCUUAGUGAAGUUUAGGGAUGGUUCCUUGAGAGAAUCAACUAGAAAGCCUUUUAAAACUCCUUUGAAGAGAAUAUAAGCUCUUGAAAAGAUCCCAAAGAUCAAUCAUUUCAUCAAACAGCUGGGGAAACUGAGGCCCAAAGAGGUUAUGUUUUAGUUAGUACUUAAGAUGGGGCCAGGUCCUGGGUGUCCAGAUUUCUCAUGAGGGUUCUAUCAACUCAUGAAAGCUCAUCAUCUUAGAUGUGUAUAAUGAAAAACUUUCAUUUUCAUCUACUCACAUUGAAUCUCAUUGACUCUAUUUUUUCUUCCUCACCCAGCUCUAAAGAUCUUUUAGGAAUUUAGCAGAAAAUAGGUAACUGUCAGUCAAAUUUACCAUCACUUGCUGAUGUGGGGAAUUCCUGGGGUGCCCCAUGUCCAGAUCAGUUAUGUAAGCCCUGAGUGAGAUUCAUCUGUCACAGGCUCAUUGCCUCCUUAGCUCCUGGUGGUUUGAAGCUUCCCUUGGAUUUGGCAUCUUGUCCUGGGUUCUUGCUCCUACUCUCCUUGGGGUUCAGUUCUCUCUCCUGGAUUUUGAGCACAGUGGCACCAACUCCCUUAUUCCUGGUGCAGGUGGAGCCGGCUCUGGCUGUGGUCGUGGAUUCUGCCAUGAUCUCUCCAGGUCCUACCUGAGAAUUUGAUAGUCCUUGACUUUUCUCUUUUUACCCCCAACAUGGCUUUGUCAAGCCCUGGGAUUCUAUCUGAUGUCUACCACCUUUCUUGUCUUUAAACCACUCUUUCAAUCCCCACCUCAUUAUCUUUUGCCUGGACCAUUACAAUAGUUACUAAAGGCCCUAAACCAAAAGGAUCUGAAGAAAUGUGCACCUUUUCUGUGGGAAUAAUGUAAAUAAUAGAAUUUACUGAGCACUUAAUGUGCAGAGCUCUGUUCUAAUCUCAUUAUAGUUAUUAACUCUCCAAACAACCCUAUGCAUUAUUGCCAUUUUUUAAACUGUGAAACUUAAGCACAGAGGAGUUAAGUAACUUGCCCAAGAUAACAAUGACAGUGGUUGGCUUUGAAUCCCAGAGGUCUGGCUACAAUAAUGUUUGACCAAAUAUCUGGGCUCUCCAUAGCCCAGUCAGGUUGACAUAUAAAAUUAACCAUCACAGGGAGCAGAAGAAAUAUAAAACAAGUGGGAUAAAUUGAAAAUAUACAACGAGAUGAUAAAUCUAUACCCAAACAUAUCAGUAACUUCUGUUGAAACUAAUCGAGAAAAGAGAGAAUGUACAAAUAACCCAGGUCAGGAAUUAAAAAAUAUUAAUCACUGCAGAUCUGCAGACAUUCUCCUGAAUGCUCCAAGAGCCUGCAUUAUUAACCCCAUACUAAUAAUUCACCAAACAUUGGAUAAUUGUUACGUGUCAGGCACUGUGCUAGGCACUGAAAAUAUUGAGUAAAUACCUGCUCCUGGGGAGCUUAUGGGCUAAUGGAAGUGACAGUUACAAACAAAAUGUUACAUCAUUAACAAGAGCUUUAAUAGAAGAACGUAUACCAUGAUGUGGCAAUACAGAGGAGGGGCCUAGGGAGCUGUGUGAGGCUUCAGGAAGACAUCUCAUUUUAGCUAACGUGUGAGGACUGAGUUGGAAUUUGAUAGACAGUGAGGGAGUGUGUUUAAUGGGAUGCUGGAAGGGAGACUAACUCAAGGGAUGGUCUGUCUUAUCCAGGGAAUGCCAAGGAGCUGGGUGUGGCAAGAGCAUGGAGUGUGCGUUUGGAGGGGCAGGUGGCUGGGGGCAGGUGGGAAGAGGUGGGGAGUAGUGGAUAAAAUGGCAUUUGAGACCAAAUUUAAAGCAUCUUGUCUCCACAGCUGCUAAGUUGUAAAAACUUUAUUUUGUGAAGAAUAAGAUAAUGACAUGAUCAGAUUUAUGUGCUUUGUUUUGCUCUGGUUUUCGAGACAGGGUAUCUCUCUGUCGCCCAGGCUCGGGUGCUGUGGCACGAUCAUGGCUCGCUGUAGUCUCCGCCUCCCAGGCUCAAGCCAUUCUCCCACUUCAGCCUCCAGAGUAUCUGGGACUACAGGCGUGCGCCACCACACUGGGCUAAUUUUUUGCUUUUUUUUUUUUUUUUUUUGUAGAGACAGGAUUUUGCCACAUUGCCCAGGCUGAUCUCCAACUCUUGGGCUUAGGUGAUCCACCCCUCUUGGCCUCCCAAAGUGCUGGGAUUACAGGUGUGUGCCACCACAUCUGGCCUCUCAGAUUGAUGUUUCAUGAGAUAGAGUACUGGACAGAGUGGAGGACACAUUCAUCUAAUAAAUAAAUUUUAGUUGCACAAGACCCUAUGCAGAUAACUAGAUACUAUCUCAGAUCUUGAGAAGCCCACACAUGUUCUGAAAAAGAUGUCCAUCAAAACCUCAUAUUUCAAGGAGCCAAACAUUGAGUCCUAUGUGAGAAGUCCUGAAUGCUCCAAGUGCAGUGACAGUUCAGACAGGAAAGAUUCCUUUAGGCCACAGAGGGGUGGAGGAAGUGGGGCUGGCAUCAGAAGGCUGGGUCCUGAAUGAUUAUUGUGAUUUCAAUAUGGCUUGCUCCUUGACGCACGUUCUAGCACAGCUAGGUGAUAGAAAUGACCGUUGUGAGUGUGUGGAAAGGUGGUGUCCACAUCGGCCAGAGUGCCAGUGUGUAAAGCCAGGUCUUGAUUGACCAGCUGAAACGAGAUUCCCAAAGUGCAGUACCCCUAGGCUAUGUCCUAGAUGAUUUUUGGUGGUACAUGAUAGACAUCUAAAGUCUAUUAGUUAGGUGUUUAUAUUAAUAUGUACUGAAAAUACUUAACAAGAAAUGAUAAUGUUGCUUCUGACUAUACAAGAAAAUGAGGCAAUUUAAUCAAUAACUGGAAGUAAUAAUAUGGAUGGUGCACAGAUAUGACAAAAAUUGUUGAGGAAAUAUGCAAAUAACUGAACAUUUGGGGGAAUUGGGCUAAGGAGUUUAGGAAAAUUUAGGAGGGUAGGCACCAUAAGUGUUAAAGAGUGGUGCUUCUUUAGAAAGAUCAAGCUGAGAGCUGGUGUAAAAUGGAUUAAAUUUUAAAAAGUAGAGGCCUGAGCUGGAGACACCAGUAAGGAAACUGUGGUAAUGCUUCAGUGGAAAGAGUUUCCUUUAUAAGGAAUCUGUGCUACUUUUCCUUCACACGUCCCUGUACUUGCUCAAGGUCUCACUGUAAAUGCAUCAGCUUGCUUCACAUGGAAGUGACACUUGCUAUCAGAAGUGCCCACAAUCUCUUCUGCUGCUUUGCUGAAAAAUAGACAUUUCUUGAUUUUGGCAGUGGUGUUUUGACGAUUUGACACAUUAUACAUCACAGUUUCAUUUCUGGACUCCUUUCCUUGGAAUCAAUGCCACUCUUUUUGCAUCAAAAAGUUUUCAUCGGAAGGCAAUGGCAGAAGUCUUCCACAAAAAAAGGUAAAAAUAAGACUUUCAAAAACUAUCAGGCCAGUGCCUCAAAACUGCAAAGAAACCUGAGCUCUACCCCAGUGAAACUAAGCAGUGCAGAGGCAGCAAAGGCUCCUCCUCCCACCCCAAUGUCCAACUCUUGUGCAAUGUUUAACUUCAGUCCUUUUGCAAUGUCUGCUUUCUUUGAAGAAUUGUGGAUUUCUUAAGAUACUGUAACCCACAUUUGCAAUGUUCUUCCUGUGAGAAAUUAUGCAUUAAAUUAGCACAUUUUGAGCAAAUCUUGCCUAUUCGGGAAGGAGACUACAUAGCUAUUUCAACGGAUGGAUCUCUUGCAGCAGGAGAAGUGGCUCUGGUCCCUCUUGGAUGCUUUCUGCUUAAAGCCUUGGAAGCUUUCUGCUGGCAGAUCCUAUGGACUCAUUUUCUUGACAUUUUGAACAUCCAGAAUCUUGUCUAUAGAUAACACACUUAUCCCUUCCUUCAUUCUCCCAAGGAGGGGAACACUUCAGGGUCAACCUUCAUCCUUAGAUGAAUAGGUUUAGACAUACUUAUCAACGGAAUAAAUACACUCUUCAGUUUCCUCUGCCACCUCUUAACUACUUUUAGUGGCUUAUGUAUUGAAUGAUGCCUUAUCUCUCUGAAAGCUACAGAGGAGUCAGAGAGUGAGGCCUAGGGAAGGGUUGUAUGACAUGUGACCUUAUUUGAGGUGCCAUCUAGCAGCUUCUUUGUCUACUUCCCAUCUCCCAAGCCUCCAUAUGGCUUGCCUCUUGACAAGAUGGUGCCUGAAAGAGUUGCUUCCUAGGCAAAACCACAGGUAAAUCCAGUUUGUCCUUGAUGAUCCUCCCACCUUUCCUUUGGAAUCUGUAGUAGAUAUCUGGUGGAUUUUGUUUGUUUUACCAGGAUCCCUUUUCAGUUCUUUGGAAACAUCACCCCAAUUUCUUUGUGAUUUUCCUGUGGGAACACCCCUCCCCCUUGGAAGCUGUUUUAUCAAGGAACUGUCAGUUUAGGUGUGUUGUCUUCUGGCAAGAAAUGAGCAUGUGACCCAAGUGUGGCCCAUUAGAGUCUGUCUCUGUGGAACUUGAAUCUUGAGAAGAGUGACACAGGGCUUAAGAGUGCCUGGAGCACAUUUGUCCUGAGGUGGUGUGUCUCAGUCCCCACCACCUGGAUCUGCAGCAACUUUUUUCUUCCCAUCCAUCUCAAGGCCCAGUUGUUCAGCCUUUCUUUUGAUGCUACAACAUCUUCUUGAAGUAAAUUAUUUUUUUUUUUUCUAAAGUAAACCGGACUCUGUUACUGUUGCUUAUAAUCAAAGAAACUUGAAAAAUCCAUCCUCUACUCAUUUUCUUCGUCCUUUUCUAGGCUUCUUCCCAACCUAAAGCUCUUUAGUGGUGUCUUAGUCAUUUGGGCUGUUAUAAAAAAUACCAUACAGUCAGUGCCUUAUAAAAAACAGAAAUUUAUUUCUCAUGGUUCUAGAGGCUGGAAAGUCCAAAAUCCAGGUGCUGGCAGAUUUAUUGCAUAGUGAGGGCCCACCUCCUGGUUCAUUGAUGACAGUCUUUUUGCUGUGUCCAAAUGUGGAGGAAGGGGCAGAGGAGCCCUCCAGGCCUCUUUUUAAAAGGGCACUAAUCCCAUCACAACCCAGAACACUCAUGACCUAAUCAACCCCCAAAAACCUCCCUCCAAAUACCAUCACAUUGAGAUUAGGUUUCAGUAUGUGAAUUUUGAGGGACACAAACAUUCGGAUGACAGAAAGUGGCUUCACAUUUCUAUGAGAAUAAGACCCAAGUCUCAACCACAAUCUGUAAGGCCCAGCCCUAUCCGGCUGUCUGGCCCAUGGGGACCGCUCUGCCCACCCUCCCACCCUGACUUUUCCUUUGCUCCCUCUUCCACCCCACUCACCUUCUCUCAUUUCUUUGGGUGCUCCCUGCUCUCUCAUCACAGGGAUUUCACAGCCGCACCCCUCUGCCUGCAGUGCUCUUGAGUCUGCCUUCCCAUGCCCUCCACAUGCCCUUGGCAGGGUUGAUUAGGUUAGGGGCUUUCUUAAUGCACCUGGUACUUCUGCAUCAUGGCACUCACCUCAAUUUGUAAUUGGAUAUCUACAUGUUGAUUAUUUGAUUAUUGCUUAUCUCCCUCAAUAGACUAUAAGCUUCAUGAGGACAUGUUUUUGUCCAUGAUUAUAUUCUGGUGAUUGACCUAGAUGUACAUAGGAAAAGCCCAAAACAUCUUUUAAAUUUCUUUUUUUUUUUUCUUUUUAAGAUGGAGUCUCACUCUGUCACCAGGCUGGAGUGCAGUGGCACUAUCUCUGCUCACUUCAAGCUCCACCUACUGGGUUUGAGCGAUUCUCCUCCCUCAGCCUCCGGAGUAGCUGGGGCUACAGGUGCAUGCCACCAUGCUGAGCUAAGUUUUGUAUUUUUUGUAGAGACGGGGUUUCACCAUGUUGGCCAGGAUGGUCUCGAUCUCUUGACCUCGUGAUCUGCCCACCUCGGCCUCCCAAAGUGCUGGGAUUACAGGUGUGAGCCACUGUGCCCAGCUUAAAUUUCUUUAUUAUAGGUUCAGGGGUACAUAUGCAGGUUUGUUACAUGGAUAUAUUGUGUGAUAGCGAGAUUUGGGCUUCAAUUGAACUUGUCACCCAAAUAGUGAACAUAGGACCCAAUAGGUAGUUUUUAGACCCUUGCCCCCUGCCUCCCUCCUUCAUUUUUAAAGUCCUCAGUGUCUGUUGUUCUCAUCUUUGUGUCCAUGUGUACCCAAUGCCAAAAAAUUUUUGUGGAAUGAAUACGUUUUAAAAAGUGAAGUCUGACCUUGUCAGACCACCUGAGAGAUGAACCUGUGUUCCUAGCCUUCUUCUCACAAUACGAUUUCUGAGCUUCCUCUGCUCCCUUUAGGGCUCUGGUCUGCACUAGCAUUUGAUGGCUGGAAUAGUUUAACAGCACACAUAAGCAUGGUUUUUGCUAACAUGCUUUCCUACAGUUCUUCUUUCUCUGGCUUUCUAUUGUACUCCUGUCUAAUGUUGACCUCCUGCCACUUGAUUAUAUUCUCCUACUGAGGCCUAUUUUGUGAUAGAAUGGUUACAUUCUUGAAAGCAGGAACUAGCGGGAUAAAGGCUAACUCUUUUCCUGGUUCUGCCCCUUUGUAGCUGGGUGGACAUUGGCUAAUUCAUUUAACUUCACUGAAACUUAAUUUACUCAUUUUAAAAAUGGGGAUGAUAUCUGUUCCACUAAAUAUAGCUGUCCCUUGAUGUCCAUGGUGGAGCAGCUACAGGACUGCCUGCAGAUACCCCAGUCCACGGAUGCUCAAGUCCCUUAUGUAAAAUGGACACAGAAGGCACUAUCCAUGAACCAGAAAGCGGGCCCUCACCAGACAUCGAAUCUGCCAGCACCUUGAUCUCGCACUUUCCAGCCUCCAGGACUUCGAGAAAUAAAUUUCUGUUGUUUAAAAGCUAUACAGUUUACGGUAUUUUGUUGUGAGCCGGAGUGUACUGAGAGGAUACCUUUCUGAUAUUCAUCAUAAGAUUUGGUUUCUGGUAGGCACUCUCCAAAUGCUAUAUAGUGCUUUAUUG
RNAcentral lists this long non-coding RNA (9370 nucleotides) under Homo sapiens (human). RNAcentral's name for it is "non-protein coding LINC01765:8". Lineage: Eukaryota; Metazoa; Chordata; Mammalia; Primates; Hominidae. The record is from RNAcentral.